UGGGGAAUCUUGGACAAUGGGCGAAAGCCUGAUCCAGCCAUGCCGCGUGAGCGAAGAAGGCCUUAGGGUCGUAAAACUCUUUCAACUGUGAAGAUAAUGACGGUAGCAGUAGAAGAAACCCCGGCUAACUCCGUGCCAGCAGCCGCGGUAAUACGGAGGGGGUUAGCGUUGUUCGGAAUUACUGGGCGUAAAGCGCACGUAGGCUGACUAGUCAGUCAGGGGUGAAAUCCCGGGGCUCAACCCCGGAACUGCCCUUGAUACUGCUAGUCUCGAGUUCGAGAGAGGUGAGUGGAAUUCCGAGUGUAGAGGUGAAAUUCGUAGAUAUUCGGAGGAACACCAGUGGCGAAGGCGGCUCACUGGCUCGACACUGACGCUGAGGUGCGAAAGCGUGGGGAGCAAACAGG
This 404-nucleotide ribosomal RNA is filed under the name uncultured Paracoccaceae bacterium. RNAcentral's name for it is "bacterial SSU rRNA". It matches the Rfam family "Bacterial small subunit ribosomal RNA", at positions 355 to 776 of the family's 1533-position model. The record is from RNAcentral. Lineage: Bacteria; Pseudomonadati; Pseudomonadota; Alphaproteobacteria; Rhodobacterales; Paracoccaceae.